Molecule: ribosomal RNA, 500 nt
Filed under: uncultured bacterium
Lineage: Bacteria
Description: bacterial SSU rRNA
Rfam family: Bacterial small subunit ribosomal RNA
Source: RNAcentral
AUGGCUCAGGAUGAACGCUAGCUACAGGCUUAACACAUGCAAGUCGAGGGGAACGAUAGAGAAAGCUUGCUUUUGAUGGGCGUCGACCGGCGCACGGGUGAGUAACGCGUAUCCAACCUGCCCACCACUUGGGGAUAACCUUGCGAAAGUAAGACUAAUACCCAAUGAUAUCUCUAGAAGACAUCUGAAAGAGAUUAAAGAUUUAUCGGUGAUGGAUGGGGAUGCGUCUGAUUAGCUUGUUGGCGGGGUAACGGCCCACCAAGGCAACGAUCAGUAGGGGUUCUGAGAGGAAGGUCCCCCACAUUGGAACUGAGACACGGUCCAAACUCCUACGGGAGGCAGCAGUGAGGAAUAUUGGUCAAUGGGCGAGAGCCUGAACCAGCCAAGUAGCGUGCAGGAAGACGGCCCUAUGGGUUGUAAACUGCUUUUAUAAGGGAAUAAAGUGAGCCUCGUGAGGCUUUUUGCAUGUACCUUAUGAAUAAGGACCGGCUAAUUCCGUG